Molecule: long non-coding RNA, 457 nt
Organism: Monopterus albus (swamp eel)
Lineage: Eukaryota; Metazoa; Chordata; Actinopteri; Synbranchiformes; Synbranchidae
Exons: 3
Source: RefSeq, a predicted model, not a curated record
CUGUCUUUGAUCUCAUCACUAGGACACCCUAUGUAUGAACUGUUUUCUGUGUUGUUGGACUUGAUUUCAGGUGACACUCCUCAGGAUGAGGAGACCAACUCUUGCUGGGACUGGUUGCCUGGCUCUGGAUCCCAACUGUCAGCCGUCCUCACACCAUCCUGCUACCUGCUCUACCAUCCGCUGUGAGCCUGAUUCUCACUAUCUACUGCACGCUGGACCAGUGAUCUCCUGUGCCAACUCCUACACCACCUCUAGACUGUGUUUCAUGCCUAUGGCAUUCACCUGACUUGAGCCACCAGCUGCGCCUCUCCUACAACCUUGGGUUGUAGCUCUAGCAGUCCAGUCAACCCAGCACUCCCCGCUGCCCUGAGAUCAGCUGACGAGACCGGUUCUGACCACUCAUUUCUGUAGUCAUUAAAAUACUUUUACCUGGUUAAGCCUGAGUCAGAGUUCUGCC